This 481-nucleotide long non-coding RNA is filed under the name Bos taurus (domestic cattle). Its description in RNAcentral is "long non-coding RNA NONBTAT023230". The record is from RNAcentral. Lineage: Eukaryota; Metazoa; Chordata; Mammalia; Artiodactyla; Bovidae.
UCAAAAUAGCAAGUGAUUUUUAAAAAACAACAUGAAAACCAAGAGCCUUAAAGUAAACGCAUGGUGUAGAAGACAGGGUACCAUUUAUCUUUGGUGGAGAAGCUUCAGGGGAUGGGAAGAUUCCAUGUUUGAUCUGUGUAGGGAUUACGUGCAGAUUUUACUUGAUAGAAUGUCCAUCAGGUGAGCCCUGAUGACAGGAGGGGUACUUUUCUCUAAGGUACAUUUCAGUAAGAAGGAGUGCUUAGCAUAAAGAGAAAAACCCAGCUUUAUGUACAAACAAAGCCACUCCAAAGAAGAUGCAAUGCGUGAGAAGACCCUGUAUCCACCCAGAUAAAGAGCUAUAUGAGGUGGCGUGGCAUGAGUUUAACAAGACACGUCCAACCCUACAUGAAGAUGCACUGAAACCCCCCAAAGGCACAGAAGAGCCAUGAACACGUGCCACUUACCAUCUUUGACACAGGAGACACCCUUUCUCCCUGGG